AACGAACGCUGGCGGCAGGCUUAACACAUGCAAGUCGAACGCCCUCUUCGGAGGGAGUGGCAGACGGGUGAGUAACGCGUGGGGAACCUACCCUUUCUACGGAAUAGCCUCGGGAAACUGGGAUUAAUACCGUAUACGCCUUUGGGGGAAAGAUUUAUCGGUGAAGGAUGGGCCCGCGUUGGAUUAGCUAGUUGGUGGGGUAAUGGCCUAUCAAGGCGACGAUCUAUAGCUGGUCUGAGAGGAUGAUCAGCCACACUGGGACUGAGACACGGCCCAGACUCCUACGGGAGGCAGCAGUGGGGAAUAUUGGACAAUGGGCGCAAGCCUGAUCCAGCCAUGCCGCGUGAGUGUUGAAGGCCCUAGGGUUGUAAAGCUCUUUCAGUGGUGAAGAUAAUGACGGUAACCACAGAAGAAGCCCCGGCUAACUUCGUG
This 432-nucleotide ribosomal RNA is filed under the name uncultured bacterium. RNAcentral's name for it is "bacterial SSU rRNA". It matches the Rfam family "Bacterial small subunit ribosomal RNA", at positions 29 to 507 of the family's 1533-position model. The record is from RNAcentral.